RNAcentral lists this ribosomal RNA (640 nucleotides) under Fictibacillus sp. RNAcentral's name for it is "bacterial SSU rRNA". It matches the Rfam family "Bacterial small subunit ribosomal RNA", at positions 67 to 690 of the family's 1533-position model. The record is from RNAcentral. Lineage: Bacteria; Bacillati; Bacillota; Bacilli; Caryophanales; Fictibacillaceae.
CGAAUGAUGAGGAGCUUGCUCCUCUGAUUUAGCGGCGGACGGGUGAGUAACACGUGGGUAAUCUGCCUGUAAGACGGGGAUAACUCCGGGAAACCGGGGCUAAUACCGGAUAAUAAGAGAAGAAGCAUUUCUUCUUUUUGAAAGUCGGUUUCGGCUGACACUUACAGAUGAGCCCGCGGCGCAUUAGCUAGUUGGUGAGGUAACGGCUCACCAAGGCGACGAUGCGUAGCCGACCUGAGAGGGUGAUCGGCCACACUGGGACUGAGACACGGCCCAGACUCCUACGGGAGGCAGCAGUAGGGAAUCUUCGGCAAUGGGCGAAAGCCUGACCGAGCAACGCCGCGUGAGCGAUGAAGGCCUUCGGGUCGUAAAGCUCUGUUGUUAGAGAAGAACAAGUACGAGAGUAACUGCUCGUACCUUGACGGUACCUAACCAGAAAGCCACGGCUAACUACGUGCCAGCAGCCGCGGUAAUACGUAGGUGGCAAGCGUUAUCCGGAAUUAUUGGGCGUAAAGCGCGCGCAGGCGGUCUCUUAAGUCUGAUGUGAAAGCCCACGGCUCAACCGUGGAGGGUCAUUGGAAACUGGGAGACUUGAGUGCAGGAGAGAAAAGUGGAAUUCCACGUGUAGCGGUGAAAUGCG